Molecule: ribosomal RNA, 377 nt
Filed under: Discartemon collingei
Lineage: Eukaryota; Metazoa; Mollusca; Gastropoda; Stylommatophora; Streptaxidae
Description: partial large subunit ribosomal RNA
Rfam family: Archaeal large subunit ribosomal RNA
Source: RNAcentral
AGCUAUAUGAUUUUAUAUUUAGUUAUUUCUGCCCAGUGAUAUUUUAACGGCCGCAGUACUUUGACUGUGCUAAGGUAGCAUAAUCAAUUGACUUUUAAUUGAAGUCUAGAAUGAAUGGAAAAAUGGGGAAAUACUAUCUUAAAGAAAAUAAUAUAAAAUUAUUAUUUAGGUGAAAAUACCUUAGUUUUUAAAAAAGACGAGAAGACCCUUAGAGUUUAUUUGUUGGGGUGACAAAUAAGCAAACCUUAUUUAAUGUAUGAAUAAACUACCUUAGGGAUAACAGCAUAAUUCUUUAAUGAGAUUGUGACCUCGAUGUUGGACUAGGAAAUUAAUAAUUAGAAAUUAAAAUAAAAGGUUCUGUUCGAACAUAUUCUCCU